ACUAUUUCACGUGCCCUAGGGGUAAAAUCCGUAUAGAUGUGAAUGAACACCGGAGGCGAAGGCGCCAUGCCUGGAUGAUUAUUGACGCUGAGGCGCGAAAGCGUGGGGAGCAAACAGGAUUAGAUACCCUGGUAGUCCACGCCGUAAACGAUGAGCACUAGUUAUUGGAGGUAUUGACUCCUCCAGUGACGCAGCUAACGCAUUAAGUGCUCCGCCUGGGAAGUACGGUCGCAAGACUAAAACUCAAACAAAUUGACGGGGGCCCGCACAAGCGGUGGAUUAUGUGGUUUAAUUCGAAGCAACGCGCAGAACCUUACCUAGGCUUGAACUCCUACGAAUCCGGGGUAAUGCCUGGAGUGUCCGCAAGGAAAUGUAGUGAGAGGUGCUGCAUGGCUGUCGUCAGCUCGUGUUGUGAAAUGUUGGGUUAAGUCUCGCAACGAGCGCAACCCCUAUCGUCUGUUGCCAGCAUUAAGUUGGGCACUCUGACGAGACUGCCUGGGUUAACCAGGAGGAAGGUAGGGAUGACGUCAAGUCCUCAUGGCCCUUAUGUCUAGGGCUACACACGUAAUACAAUGGCGCGUACAGAGGGAAGCGAACUCGCGAGGGGGAGCAAAUCUCAAAAAGCGCGUCUCAGUCCGGAUUGGAGUCUGCAACUCGACUCCAUGAAGUUGGAAUCGCUAGUAAUCGGAGAUCAGCACGCUCCGGUGAAUACGUUCCUCUGGUCCUUUUACUUCUAUCGCUCUUUUUACUAUGGGAGUUGUUUUCAUUUUAAGACGUGACUAAU
This 784-nucleotide ribosomal RNA is filed under the name uncultured Peredibacter sp. RNAcentral's name for it is "bacterial SSU rRNA". It matches the Rfam family "Bacterial small subunit ribosomal RNA", at positions 663 to 1439 of the family's 1533-position model. Lineage: Bacteria; Pseudomonadati; Bdellovibrionota; Bacteriovoracia; Bacteriovoracales; Bacteriovoracaceae. The record is from RNAcentral.